Long non-coding RNA from Rhea pennata, 1971 nucleotides. RefSeq lists it as uncharacterized. The record is from RefSeq and is a predicted model, not a curated record. The transcript is spliced from 12 exons. Lineage: Eukaryota; Metazoa; Chordata; Aves; Rheiformes; Rheidae.
GGUAGGGCUGCCGAUGUCGGAGGGCACUUGUCCGUAGCUGCAUUCGCUAGAGCUUCCUCCUGCAUCAGAUUUCUUCCACUGCUGAGCUGAUUGCAAGGAAUUGUUCACCUACUUCAGGGGAUUUGACUGAAAGUCGAAAGAGAAGUCUUGAAUGAAGUGUAGCUCUAAUGGAUGAAGAUGGAUAUAAAGUCUACAACAGCAGCAGCACUAACAAGAGUUGUGGUCACUUCUGAUCUGAAAAUAUUUUCUAUCUAUCUUCUACAAGUUGGCAGUCAGUCACAUUUAGAAUCAUAGAAGAUUUGCCUCAUUCUCAUGUAUGGCCAAGACUGUGUCUCCUGAAAGCAAAUAAGAUUAUUCCUAUCAGGAAAUCUGGCAAAACCCCAAAAUCCCUACUUCUCAGCUUAUGCUGGAUUUGUACAACACCAUUGUAAAAGAUUGUCUUCCUCACUAAGAGGCCUAAAUCAGAGCUGUUCCAUGUGUGAUUAAGGAAUUAUUAAUGAGAUAAUUUAAGAACAUAAGUUCAUCGGAAAAAAGCCAAGUCUGGGGAAAAGAUAGUCCAUCCAGUUUUGCCUGAACAGCUGUGCCUGGCAAUGAGCCUGGCACCACUGGCCUAAGUCCAGAGAUGAUGCAUGCGUGAACCAAAGAAGAAUCUGAUCACAAGAAAGUCUUGUUAUGCCAAGUGUGUAGUUAAGCAGAUAUAUAGGUGGAUGACAACCGUUUGCAAGGCUUCAUGCAAAUUCAUAAGCACAGUGCUAUUUUUAAAAGCAUCCAACAACGAUGUUUCUCUUCUGCCAUUUGAAGUCAACUGCAUUACUACCAGUGACACUUUAAACAGCACGGAGGCACUGAAGUGCAGCCACUGAUACAUGAAAAAAGGAGAUGAGAGACCAAGAAGGAAGAGAAUGUCAUUAAGAUGUAGAAGACAAGCCACGUCUAAAAAGCCGCUUAAAAGAUCAAACUAAACCUUGGUAUCUACUUAUUCCAUCUAUGACUAACAUUUCAGGAGAGUGGGAACCACUUGAUCCAGCUUUACUAAUGCCCUUGAGAUACUUAUCUCCACUGCACAGAGAUGUUUCCACUAUGUCAGCGGUAUAAUAAAAGAUAUAUUACUUCUUCCCACAAAUCAUGCCACCCUUGAUGAAAAACCAACUAUCCUGAUGCUCUGUUUAUUCAUCAGCUUUACUGACCUGACAUCGCGUUGCACCCCCACUAGCAUGGCAAGAGAAAUAAAGAGCAAACUAAUGGGACUAAAGGGAACUGCUCAAAACUUCAAUCAUAGCUGUAUCAUUUGGAGGGAAACCAAGAAUGCUGAGUGACAUUUGGUUAGCUGUAUUUUCAUUUUAAUGAAUUUCUGUAUGUUGAGCUAUUUCUAGCUGUUAAAUUGCAGGAAUGUUUGUGUGUCAAUACUUCCGGCUAUCAUCAGCUAUCAUCGCCGCUGUCGCACAGACUCGCAGAACAGCUGGGGCUGCAGGGACCUCUGGAGAUCAUCUGCUCAAGCAGGGCUGUGUCCAGUCAGACAGUCUGUCAUUACCUGAUGGGUAGGCUAAGAAUUAUCGCAAAGCCCUGAGAGCUGACUUAAGCCUACAUCUACUUAAUCUCAGUGAGAUUUGUUCAUAAUUUAUUUUAUCUGAGGCAGAGUGAACCUGAUGCUGAAUACUUUGAAAGACCUCACUCCCUCAUAAUCUUAGAAUUUAGCUUCCCCAUAUUUACACUGUUGGUCUUUCACUAGAGCUGUACAAGACUAAGAUUGUGAACAAAGAUGCAUUUAACUGUUGAAAGCACUUACAACGAAGAGGGGAUUAAUAAAUUUUAAGAUUCCUUUACACAGUAUUAGGGAUGUAGAAAUUAACGGAAUCGUUAAUUUGACACUCUUUAACAGUGAAAAAAAUGAUUAACUAUUCUUUACUGCUUUGCCAAGUACUUAUUGUCAAUGAUUAAGGAUCUAAUUAAUUCCUAAUGCUGUGAGUAAUA